This is a long non-coding RNA of Eurytemora carolleeae, 312 nucleotides long. RefSeq lists it as uncharacterized. Lineage: Eukaryota; Metazoa; Arthropoda; Copepoda; Calanoida; Temoridae. The record is from RefSeq and is a predicted model, not a curated record. The transcript has 2 exons.
UGAAAGAUUUGUUGAAUAAAACUGCAAAUUAAGAAGUUAUUCGAUCAUCAGUAAACUUGAAAAAUUAUCCUAUGGGCAUAACAAUACUAAUCCGAAACAUAAGAGCUUAUACCAAGGUUUCAUGAUACCGGGUCUGUCAGGAGAUUUAUGUACUGCAUGAAGUUCACAAGUGAAGGAAAUCAGGAAAAUCAUGAAGUUCUAUUUUAAGAAAUCUUUGAGAAAAGAAAAAGAUGGAGUUGUGGAGUACUUUACAAUAAUUAGAAACCUAAUUAAAAUAUUGUUCUUUUUUUCAUUAAUAAAUGGUUAAGCCCA